RNAcentral lists this long non-coding RNA (370 nucleotides) under Lupinus angustifolius (narrow-leaved blue lupine). RNAcentral describes it as "long non-coding RNA (LANG_LNC002538)". Lineage: Eukaryota; Viridiplantae; Streptophyta; Magnoliopsida; Fabales; Fabaceae. The record is from RNAcentral.
UCCCAUUCCGUAAACCAUGAACCAAAAGAAAACAAAAAAAUAUCAACCUGUUCUAGUGUCCCCACCAUCGCGAAAUCAAGGUGUGACACCAGAAAUCAUGUUAGUGUGUCAACCAGAGAAGAUGAAGAAGAACAAAAAGUUGUCAACCUGUUCAUCACCCCUAACCACUGCGAAAUCCGACAGUGAUGCCGGAAAUCAUGUCGGCGUGGUAAUCGGAGAAGAAGAAGAAGUGCUACUUCGAGGAGUCACCAUCGUCACCUCGCUGUUGGCAUUAUGGAGGCUCCACCAUCAUGACCAAGCCGCGUCCAAGCAGAGACGCACUCCUCCCACAGACGAGACCAUAAAACGCCCAUUACCGUCGCAAAACCAC